This is a small nucleolar RNA of Dendrobium catenatum, 107 nucleotides long. Lineage: Eukaryota; Viridiplantae; Streptophyta; Magnoliopsida; Asparagales; Orchidaceae. The record is from RefSeq and is a predicted model, not a curated record.
AAGGCAUGGUGAUGGCACUUUCUAAGCAUCUCCUUGAAUCUCUCUUAACUCUAAUAAAUAUAUUCUCCUUCUAAGUGAGUAAAAUAAGUAAUAUCAAUUCUAAGCUU